Molecule: ribosomal RNA, 497 nt
Filed under: uncultured bacterium
Lineage: Bacteria
Description: partial 16S ribosomal RNA
Rfam family: Bacterial small subunit ribosomal RNA
Source: RNAcentral
GAUGAACGCUGGCGGCGUGCCUAAUACAUGCAAGUCGAGCGAACAGACGAGGAGCUUGCUCCUUUGACGUUAGCGGCGGACAGGUGAGUAACACGUGGGUAACCUACCUAUAAGACUGGGAUAACUUCGGGAAACCGGAGCUAAUACCGGAUAAUAUUUCGAACCGCAUGGUUCGAUAGUGAAAGAUGGCUUUGCUAUCACUUAUAGAUGGACCUGCGCCGUAUUAGCUAGUUGGUAAGGUAACGGCUUACCAAGGCAACGAUACGUAGCCGACCUGAGAGGGUGAUCGGCCACACUGGAACUGAGACACGGUCCAGACUCCUACGGGAGGCAGCAGUAGGGAAUCUUCCGCAAUGGGCGAAAGCCUGACGGAGCAACGCCGCGUGAGUGAUGAAGGUCUUCGGAUCGUAAAACUCUGUUAUUAGGGAAGAACAAACGUGUAAGUAACUGUGCACGUCUUGACGGUACCUAAUCAGAAAGCCACGGCUAACUACGUG